RNAcentral lists this long non-coding RNA (480 nucleotides) under Anser brachyrhynchus (Pink-footed goose). RNAcentral's name for it is "lncRNA (ENSABRG00000013448.1)". Lineage: Eukaryota; Metazoa; Chordata; Aves; Anseriformes; Anatidae. The record is from RNAcentral.
AACCAUGUCACUCACUGGCUUGGCUUUGCCCAGUGGCAGGCCCCUUUUGGAGCCAGCUGGAACUGGCUUUUAUCUCACAUGAGACAGCUUUUGGACUCUUCUCACAGAGGCCUCGCUGCAGCCUCCCCCAGUACCAAAACCUUGCCAUGUAAGCCUAAUACAAAAAGGAAACUUUCAAAAACAUAUCAAGACACAAUGAAGCAAAAGAGUGGACAAUUUUCCCUUCUGUCUUUGGCCUCAAUUGUCAUUGCUCAUGCUGCAUCACUUUAAGGAGAAAAAAACGUAUAGAUUGCAGUGACUCAGAACCACAUCACCAUGGAAAAGUCUAAUAUGGAUGUUUAUCACCUUUUUUGAUCCGGAAGUUCCUUUGUCAGUUUUAAUGUAAUACAUUCUCAAACUGCUUUCUGACUUUGUUCCCAUAUUCUUUUUGCAUUCAGAAACUGAGUAAACCACAUCCUAAUUUUAUUGUUUUACAAAAAU